UCUCAAUGGAGCCGACCUUGAAAUACCACCCUGAUCUGUUUGAGGUUCUAACCUUGGCCCGUUAUCCGGGCUGGGGACAGUGCAUGGUAGGCAGUUUGACUGGGGCGGUCUCCUCCCAAAGUGUAACGGAGGAGUACGAAGGUACGCUAGGUACGGUCGGAAAUCGUGCUGAUAGUGCAAUGGCAUAAGCGUGCUUGACUGUGAGACUGACAAGUCGAACAGGUGCGAAAGCAGGUCAUAGUGAUCCGGUGGUUCUGUAUGGAAGGGCCAUCGCUCAACGGAUAAAAGGUACUCUGGGGAUAACAGGCUGAUACCGCCCAAGAGUUCAUAUCGACGGCGGUGUUUGGCACCUCGAUGUCGGCUCAUCUCAUCCUGGGGCUGUAGCCGGUCCCAAGGGUAUGGCUGUUCGCCAUUUAAAGAGGUACGUGAGCUGGGUUUAAAACGUCGUGAGACAGUUUGGUCCCUAUCUGCCGUGGGCGCUGGAUAUUUGAAGGGGGCUGCUCCUAGUACGAGAGGACCGGAGUGGACGAACCUCUGGUGUACCGGUUGUCACGCCAGUGGCAUCGCCGGGUAGCUAUGUUCGGAAGAGAUAACCGCUGAAAGCAUCUAAGCGGGAAACUCGCCUUAAGAUGAGAUAUCCCCGGGGCUUCGAGCCCCUUGAAGGGUCGUUCAAGACCAGGACGUUGAUAGGUCAGGUGUGCACGUACAGUAAUGUACUGAGCUAACUGAUACUAAUUGCCCGUAAGGCUUGAUCCU
Molecule: non-coding RNA, 756 nt
Filed under: Burkholderia sp. SRS-W-2-2016
Lineage: Bacteria; Pseudomonadati; Pseudomonadota; Betaproteobacteria; Burkholderiales; Burkholderiaceae
Description: Bacterial large subunit ribosomal RNA
Rfam family: Bacterial large subunit ribosomal RNA
Source: Rfam by way of RNAcentral